RNAcentral lists this long non-coding RNA (3520 nucleotides) under Citrus x clementina. Its description in RNAcentral is "Citrus clementina (C. clementina) long non-coding RNA (CCLE_LNC000318)". The record is from RNAcentral. Lineage: Eukaryota; Viridiplantae; Streptophyta; Magnoliopsida; Sapindales; Rutaceae.
CUUAAACUCAUUUAAUGGUAUUGAUAAUUUUUUCAAUUAUGGUACUGUUACUACAACAUCUACUACAACACUGAGUAAAAUCCUUCAUACAUCCUCAGCUGUUGUAAAUUGGAUAUCUUAUAUUCAUCAUAUAUCCUCACUUAAUAGUAUUGACUUUUUUUCAAUUAUGAUAUUGUUGCUACAACAUUGAGUAGAAUCCUUUAUACGUCCUCAACUGUCGCAUGUUGGAUAUCUUAUAUCUAAAUGCAACUUAACAGUGACUAGUUGUUAUGCUAACAUUAGAUACAAUAUUAUAUAUUCUAGAUUCCAAUUGUCAUACAAGGUGAAUCCUUAUGUCUAUUUCUUCACUAAUCUUAGAUCAAGUAUGACCCUAUUUAAAUUGAAAUUAACUCAACUUGGGAAACUUAAUCUAAAACUAUGUAUUGUCUUAAUUUGUUCUAUUAAGUUAGACAUUUUUUAAGCUCCUUCUUAGUUAGUAUCCACUAAAUGGGCUUUCAACUGAAUAGGGAUUUGCAAUAAAUAAAAUCAAAAUAAAAUACUACAGCAGAUUCUACACAAUGCACAUAUAUAAGUCAAAUGACCAUUAAGCCUGUUUAACACCCAACUACAUCAAAUUUAGUUCAUGAUAUGCGAUAAAAUAGUAAAACUACUCGUUUUUGCCAUUAAAUACAUUCCCAUAGAGAGAUAAAAACAAGAAAAUAAAAAUAAGGAUUGAGUUCCGCUAGGUCUUUGCGAUCUCGCCUUCUUUUUCUUCUGGAAUCCCUUGCUGCAGCCCUCAACUCUCUCUUGUUCUCUUUUUUCUUUUGUUUUCUCAGUUAUUUUUCUUGAGUGACGACUCUCCCUUGUUUCUUUCGCGUGUGCUCUUUUUAUAUAUUGGAAUUAGGGCAACCAAAAGCAUGUGGCCACGUGUCUCGUUUUUUGGAAACCUUCGAUCACAUGUCUUUUUGUGCCACCUAUUGCUGCUUUGUCAGUUAACACACACAUAAUCUUGUAUACAGUUGCUCAUGGAUUACUGCAGCAAUGGCUACAACAUUUUCUCUUAUUCAGACUUGUUUUAGUUCAUCUGCGGACAAGUUUUUGUCAUCUCUGCAAUUAUGUUACCGUAGCGUUCCAGUAAUAAAGCUUGAGCUUUUUGGUCACCUACAAUCAUGUACAUAAUCAAAGCACAAAGUAAUCUAAAACACAAUUAAUUUAUUAAAACUAAACUUAAAUAGAUGUUCAUGCAAAAUGUAACUAAAAAUGAAAAAAAAACACAUCAUUUACUUUCUAAGUAAUAUUGAUUUAAGUCUAAAAAUACCAUGAUAACUCUAAUUUCAUAGAGUUAUCACACCCUCAAACUUAAACCAUUACUUUUCCUUAAAUAAUGACAACAAUAUUAACACUUCACUCACACAAUCUUGCAAUAAACAACUUAGCUCUGUCAUCUAGCUUGCUCGGAUUCAUCAACCCUCAGAUCUCAUUCUUAAACAUACAAAAUCACCAGCUGCAUUUUCAAUUCUAGACUUAGGUCUUAUUCUAUCCAGAGUGUGUGUGUGGCACUACAUAAGGGCAGAAAGGUCAAAACAAUAUUCGAAAAAAUGUCUGGUGAUAAAGGAGGCCUUAUCCUAAAAGAUUGGUUGAUUCUCUGACCCUCUAGCUUGAGCAUCAGAGUGUGGUCGCUGGUCCACCCCCAUCUCCAAUUCUAAUCUCUUUUUCAUUGUUUUUAAAGUCUAAGAUGACUUUGCAAGCUUUCUGAGACCAUAUUCGAACCUUUACUAUUUCCACCAUCCUCUCACUCUUCCUUCAUCUCCAAAAAGACAGCCUAUACACCCCGACUAAGUGAGGUACCCUACAUCCCAACAAAAAUAAAUUGAUUGUUCCUAGCUAGGUUUGUAGCUUCCACUCACACCUUAAAAUCUACUAAAAACACAUACCAUAAAUUCACUAUAAGUUGAGCUUUGAUACCAUAUCACACUUAAUCAAACCAUUGUAUUAAGAGGACAAGAAAAUUGACUUUUAUUUCAAAUCUUCCAAUGUACAAUGCUUUUAUAUUGCAUAGGUUCAAAAAGGAUACAUCUAUAGAAACCUAUAGGCCUAACUUAACCCAAAAGCUAGCUUAAAAGUUAAGAGUUAAGAGUUGUCCAAGUCUUAUGUACUUAACCUAAGUUGAAUACUUAGUCAAUGUGGGAUAUUCUUCCUGACACCACCCGUUGGGUGUAAGCCAAUCUUUUCCAUUGGUCUUUGUCAAAUGGUAAGCUAGUAUGGGCUUACUCGUGCAUAAGUUUGUCUUUGAUACCAUAUAAGAGCCUACAGGCCUAACUCAAAGGUUGAGGGUUAUCCAAGUUUCCUAUAUGUAGCCUAAGUUCAAUAAAGGAAGUUAAAAGCAAUCUUCAACAAUCAUGAGCUCCAAAAGAGCUAGAUGUCAUGUAAAUGCACUUUACUAAUCAUGGUACUUUGAGGUAUAAAAAAAAAAAAGAACUUGUGCAGUUAUACUAGACAAUUGUGCAUUGUAUUAUUUUUCCUUCAACUAAGUUUUGUCUCAUUAGGUUUUGUUGGCAAGGUUUUAAUAAGGCAGUACUAAGCAUAUCUAAAUUCAUACACAUAAAAAAAGUUGUAUGUAAUAAAAUAGUAAAUUCAAGGGGAACGUUAUAAAGAUCGAUGACUUUACAUUGUUAUUUGCGAAAACCCUAUUAUGCUUGAGUGAAAUAUCCAGAGCCUCAACUAUAAUAACUUGAAAAUAUAAAAAGAGAGAGGAUGUGAGUGUUUGUGUUUAUCCAAAGUAUAUUUAAUGCUCAAUAAAGGAUGUCUUUUUACCCUGUGGUUGAGAGGCCUUAAAGACGUAUAUUAAAUUUAGGACGUGUUAUGUUUAUUAGAUAAAAAUGAUUGUUGGGUCUAUCUUUAGUAGAUUAGAUUGUUAAUGGGUCACUGAAAUUCAUUACACACGAGUACAAUUUGGGUUUAAGAAUCGAAAAAUGUUUCACCAAAUAACCUACUAAAACAUUAUAUUAAUAAUUCAAUAUCUUAAUAUCUCAAAUUAUUAAGUUUUAAAGAAAAAAAUUGAUUUAAGUUUUACCCACCUCUACCUUUUUUAAUUAAAAAUUAAUAAAAAUUUUAUAAACUUUCUAUUCAUGUAAUUUUUUUACAAAUAUUAAAAUACUUAAGUAUUUACUAUAAAAACUUAGAGUCGGUAUUAUAUCUUCUAAACUUUAAGAAAAAUUUAUUCUCCAAACAUAAUGCUACCCAAGUAAUGUAAAUCUUCUUUCUUUUAUUAUUAUUAGUAUUUAAAAUUUUAACACUUUCUUUUAUUAUUAUUAGUAUUGGUGCCUAUAACUACUGGUAGUUCAUUUUUCCUCCUUUUUUAUUUUUUGUUUCCGUAAGUGUAUGCUAUACACAUUAUGCAAGUUUAUGUGGAAUCAAUUUGAAGUGCAAUAGGCGACAAGCUCACUGUUACUCAAGAAAUUGUAUAAACAAGUACAAAAUAAGUCACGUUAAACAUCAAUAAUUAUUUUCUUAAGAUUUUCUUUUGUUUAGUUUUAUAUUA